RNAcentral lists this long non-coding RNA (11157 nucleotides) under Homo sapiens (human). RNAcentral's name for it is "long non-coding RNA NONHSAT067917.2". Lineage: Eukaryota; Metazoa; Chordata; Mammalia; Primates; Hominidae. The record is from RNAcentral.
CGUGAUCUCUGCUCACUGCAACCUCCGCCUCCUGGGUUCAAACAAUUCUGCCUCAGCCUCCGGAGUAGCUGGGAUUACAGGCGCGCGCCACUAUGCCCGGCUAAUUUUUGUGUUUUUAGUAAAGACGGGGUUUCACCAUGUCGGCCAGGCUGUUCUCGAACUCCUGACCUCGUGAUCCCUCCGUCUCGGCUUCCCAAAGUGCUGGGAUUACGGGCGUGAGCCACCGUGCCCGGCCGCAGCCUUGUUUUGACUGAGUCAGUGGGAGCCAUUACUGUUCCUAAAUGUAAACUGGCGUGACAGGAGUUCCGGGAUUGUCCACAGCACGGUGAUGUGGAAGCCCUGGGGAGAGAAUGAUAAAGAAAGGGGAUGAGGAACAGCUCCACCCGGAAGAGCGGGCUUCCCUAGCAAAUGAAUCUGGAAGGGCGCAGGGGAGGGGGCACGGCGAGUUCAGAUGGACCGAGGCUGGAAGCUGACGCGGUUGGAGGGGGAUGGGUGUAGCUGUUGGCAGUGGCGCUGGGGUGGAAGUGUGUGGGGUCACAGAUGUGUAAGGGUGGGCGCGGAGCAGACCCCCGAAGGUCCCUGAGGUCAGGCUGAGGCAUUGGACCAAAUCCGUACAUAGGCAUUUCUCUGAACUGCGCGCCACCUUUUGAGUGCCAUCUGUUUCCGUCCAGGACUCUGAUACAACUAUCCAGUCCGCUGCAGGGACCGGUCACUGUGUCACAGUAAGUGGUGGGAUUUAAGAGGCAGUUUUCCUCCUCAUGUUCUACCAUUAUGAACGUCUAGCUUGAAAAAUACAUACCAUUUUCAUAACUACGUAUUAUUUUGUUAGUGCUAGCAUAGUAGAUCUUUUUCCGUUAUUUUACUCUGUGGGGGGGGGGGGGUUUGUUUUGUUUUUGUUUUUGUUUUCUUUUUGGUACUAAGCUUUUUGUUCUGGAAUAAUUUUGGAUUUAUUCAAAACGUUGCAAAGACCGGGCGCGCUGGCUCACGCCUGUAAUCCCAACACUUUGGGAGGCCGAGAUGGGUGGAUCACCUGGGGUCAGGAGUUCAAGAUCAGCCUGGCCAACAUGGUGAAGUCCCGUCUCUACUAAAAAUACAGAAAUUAGCUGGGCGUGGUGGCGCGUGCACCUGUAAUCCCGGCUACUCGGGAGGCUGAGGCAGGAGAAUCGCUUGAACCCAGGAGGCCAAGGUUGCAGUGAGCCGAGGUUACACCAUUGCACUCCAGCCUGGGCAACAAGAGUGAAAUUCUUGUCUCAAAAAAAAAAAAAAGAAAAGUUGCAAAGAUCAUAAGCAGUCCACCAUGUUUUAUGCCCACUUUCUUCUGAUGCUGUCAUCACAAGCACCAACAAAAGUGGUUUGUUGUAGAUACUGACAUGAUGCAUUACUGUAACUAAAACCCAGACUUUACUGGGAUUUCACCACCUUUUCCUCCAAUGUUUUCUUUACAUGCCAGGGUACAAGCCAGGACCCACGUUCCAUUUAGCUUCCUUUUACCUGUUGUAUUUAGGGUGGGUUUCUUGUAGAUAGCAUGUAGUUGGAUCUUGCUUUUUUUUGCCCAAGCGAACAGUCUCUGCCUUUUAAAAGAGGUGUUUAUAACUGUACUUUUAUUUUUUAUGUCUUAUUCUUUAGCAUUCUGUACACAGAUACAGCGAUAAAAUGAAAUGACUGGAACUUAAAUGUGAAAACUCUUUACAAGUAAGCCCACAAUUAGAUACAUUUAUCUUACAUGUCAGGGAAAAAAAUUAUGUAAACAGGACAAAUUAUAUCACAAAAGAAUCCCAAAGUAGAAAAAAUACCUAAGAAAUGUGUCUAACCAUGAAAAGUACUGUUCUCUUGGUGUCUUCACAUCGUGUCUUCUGUGUACUUAAGUACAAAACAUUGUUGCCUCUGAUUAAUGCACCCUGUACUUAUUUUUCUGUUGUCCAGUUACAUAUUUGGUUGGUUCCAGGGCUAUGUUCAUGUAGCCAUCCAGGCAAACCAGCACCCCUCCCUUAAUCCACUUCAGAAUUUUACCCCAACUGUCUGAUGAUGUGCUCUAAGAAGUCACUAGGGGAUUGCUUUUCUUAAAAAAUCUAUUAUUAUUAUUAUUUUUUGAGACGGCUCUGUCGCCCAGGCUGGAGUGCAGUAGCACGAUCUCAGCUCACUGCAACCUUUGCCUCCCAGGUUCAAGCAAUUCUCUUUACAGGCGUGCACCACCACACCCAGCUAAUUUUUGUAUUUUUAGUGAAGACAGGGUUUCACAGUAUCUGGAAUUCCGGACCUCAGGUGACCCGCCCGCCUCUGCCUCCCAAAGUGCCGGGAUUACAGGCAUGAGCCACUGCGCCUGGCCAGUAGGGGGUUGCUUCUGAAAACUUAUUUUAAUAAUCUUGGGUAGGCCAGGCGCGGUGGCUCAUGCGUGUGAUCCUAGCACUUUGGGAGGCCGAGGCGUGUGGAUCACCUGAGGUCAGGAGUUCAAGACCAGCCUGGCCAACAUGGCGAAACCCCGUCUCUACUAAAAAUACAGAAAAAUUAGCCGGGCAUGGUGGCGCAUGCCUGUAAUCCCAGUUACUCAUGAGGCUGAGGCAGGAGAAUCGCUAGAACCCUGGGGGUGGAGGUUGCAGUGAGCCCAGAUCAUGCCAUUGCACUCCAGCCUGGGAGACAGAGCGAAACUCUGUUUCAAAAAAUAAUAAUCUUGGGGGGCAGGAAACCUAAGUCAUAAUCCCGGCUCUUUUACUUAACCAGCCGUAUGACUUGGAAAACUCGUUUCCCUUCUCUCGGCUCCAGAUUCCUCAUCUUGCAGCUGGGAUCCAGAGCUCUCACUCCAGGAGCCCAGUCACAGCAAAAACCAAAACUGUACUUUUUUUUUUUUUUUGAGACAGGGUUUCUCAUUCUGUCACCCAGGCUGGAGUGCAAUGAUGUGAUCUCUGUCUCAGCCCACAGCAGCUUCAACCUCCCAGGCUCAAGUGAUCCUCCUGCCUCAGCUACGCAGUGUAUGGUAUUUUGUUACAACAACCAGAAUGUAGUAAGACAUUUAUUGAAGGAUAUCUUGGUUCCUUCCAAGUUUUUGGCAGUGAUAAAGAAAGCUGCCAUAAACGUGCACGUGCAGAUUUCUUUGUGGGCAGAAGUUUUCAACCCAUCUGUGUAAAUACUGGGGAGCAGUGUUGCUGGUUCAUAUUCUAAGAGUAUGUUUAGGAUUAUGAGAGACCACCACACUGUCCUCCAAAGUAGCUGUACCAUUCUGCAUUGCCAGCACCAAUGAAGAAGGGUUUCUGUUGCUCCACAUUUCUGCCAGCAUUUGGUGGUGCCAGCAUUUUGGAUUUGGCAUUCUAAUAGGUAUGUAGUGGUGUCUUGUUUUUUUUUUGUUUUUUUGAGACAGAGUCUCACUCUGUCUUCCAGGCUAGAGUGCAGUGGCAUGGUCUCGGCUCACUGCAACCUCCGCCUCCUGGGUUCAAGCGAUUCUCCUGCCUCAGCCUCCCGAGUAGCUGGGACUACAGGCGUGCGCCACCACGCCCAGCUAAUUUUUGUAUUUUUAGUAGAAACGGGGUUUCACCAUGUUGGCCAGGAUGAUCUCGAUCUCUUGACCUCGUGAUCCACCUGCCUUGGCCUUCCAAAGUGCUGGGAUUACAGGUGUGAGCCCCCGCGCCCGGCCAGUGGUGUCUUGUUUUAACGGACGGUUCCCUAAUGACAUACGGUGAACAUCUUUUCCUGUGUUUAUUUGCCAUCUGUAUUAGGGUUCUCCAGAGGGCCAGAACUAACAGGAUAUAUGUAUAUAUUGAAAGGGAGUAUAUUAGGGAGAACUGGCUGACAGGAUCAUCAGGCAAAGUCCCACUAUAGUCCAUCUGCAAGCUGAGGAAGGAAGAAGCCAGUCACGUCUCAAAGUCCAAAAGCCUCAAAAGUAGGGAAGCCAACGGCGCAGCCUUCAGUCUGUGGCGGAAGGCCUAAGAGUCCCCGACAAACCACUGGUGGAAGUUCAAGAGUCCAAAGGCCAAAGAACCUGGAGUCUAAUCUCCAAAGACAGGAAGUAUCCAGCACAGGAGAAAGAUGAAAGCCAGAAGACUCAGCAAGCCAGCCCCUCCCACCUUCUGCGCUGACUGGAUGGUGCCCACCCACACUGAGAGUGGGUCUCCCUCUCCCCGUCCACUCACUCAAGUGUCAGCCUCCCUGGCAACACCCUCACAGACACACCCAGAAACAAUCCUUUUUUUUUUUUUUUUUUUUUUUUUUUUUUUUUUUUUUUUUGAGACCGAGUCUCACUCUGUCACCCAGGUUGGAGUGCAGUGGCACCAUCUCGGCUCACUCCAACCUCCGCCUCCCGGGUUCAAGCAAUUCUUCUGCCUCAGCCUCCCGAGUAGCUGGGACUACAGGCACGUGCCAUCAUGCUGGCUAAUUUUUGUAUUUUUAGUACAGACAGGGUUUCACCAUAUUGGCCAGGCUGGUCUCAAAUUCCUGCCCGUCUUGGCCUCCCAAAGUGCUGGGAUUACAGGUGUAAGCCACCAUGCCUGGCCCCUUUUCCUAUUUUUUAAUCAGAUUGUUUUCCUGUUAACUGAGUUUUAAGAGCCCUUUGUAAAUCUUGGAUAGCAGUCCUUCAUGAGAUAGGUCUCUUGCAAAUAGUUUCUCCCAGGCUGCAGCUUUUCUCAUUAUAUUAAAAAUGUUUUUCAAAGAGCAGAGGGUUUUGUUUUGUUUUGUUUUUUGAGAUGGAGUCUCGCUCUGUCGCCCAGUCUGGAGUGCAGUGGCGUGAUCUUGGCUCACUGCAAGCUCCGCCUCCCGGGUUCACGCCAUUCUCCUGCCUCAGCCUCCUGAGUAGCUGGGACUACAGGCACCUGCCACCACACCUGGCUAAUUUUUUGUAUUUUUAGUAGAGAUGGGGCUUCACCGUGUUAGCCAGGAUGGUCUCGAUCUCCUGACCUCAUGAUCCGCCCGCUUCGGCCUCCCAAAGAGCUGGGAUUACAGGCGUGAGCCACCACGCCUGGCCUAGCAGAGGGGUUUUUUUAUUAUUAUUUUAAUAAAGUCAAGCUUGUAAGUUUCUUUCAUGGAUCAUGCCUUUGAUGUAUCAAAAAAAUUAUCACGGCUGGGCGUGGUGGCUCACAGCUGUCAUCCCAGUAUUUUGGGAAGCCGAGGUGAGUGGAUCACUUGAGGCCAGGAGUUUGAGACCAGCCUGGCCAACGUGGCAAAACCCCAUCUCUACUAAAAAUACAAAAAUUAGCCGGGCGUGGUGGCGCACACCUGUAAUUCCAGCUACUCAGGAGGCUGAGGCAUGAGAAUCACUUGAACCCAGGAGGCAGAGGUUGCAGUGAGCCAAGAUUCUGCCAGUGCACUCCAGCCUGGGCGACAGAGUGAGACUCUUGUCUCAAAAAAAAAAAUUCACAAAACCCAGUCAUGUAGGUUUUCUCCUAUGUUAUCUUCUAGGAGUUUUAUAGAUUUGCAUUUAACAUUCAGCUCUAUGAUCCAUUUUGAGUUAAUUUUUGUGAAGAGACUAAGGUCUGUGUAUAGAUUUGAUUUAUUUAUUUUUGGCAUGUUGAUGUCCAGUUGUUCUAGCACCAUUUGUGGAGAGAAGUUUGGAAGUUUGAGCAUUUUUUAUGAUACCUUUUUUUUUUUUUUAGACGGAGUCUCACUGUCAUGCAGGCUGGAGUGCAGUGGCACAGUCUCGACUCACUGCAGCCUACUCCUCCCAGGUUCAAGCAGUUCUACUGCCUCAGCCUCCCAAGUAGCUGGGAUUACAGGCGUGCACCACCACACCCAGCUCCUUUUUGCAUUUUUAGUAGAGACAGGGUUUCACUAUAUUGGCUAGGCUGGUCUCAAACUCCUGACCUCGGGAUCUGCCUGCCUUGGCCUCCCAAAGUGCUGGGAUUACAGGUGUGAGCCACCACGCCCAGCCUUAUGAUACUGUUCUAUCUCUGCUCUGUGCCCACCACCACACCCAGCUAAUUUUUGUAUUUUUUGGUAGAGACGGGGUUUCACCAUGUUGGCCAGGCUGGUCUCGAACUCCUGACCUCAGGUGAUACGCCUGCCUCAGCCUCCCAAAAUGCUGGGAUUACAGGUGUGAGCCACUGCGCCUGGCCUUGUCUUCACUUUUGUUUUUUUGGUUUUUUUUUUGAGAGGGAGUCUUGCUCUGUCGCCCAGUCUGGAGUGCAGUGGCGCGAUCUCGGCUCACUGCAAGCUCCGCCUCCCGGGUUCACGCCAUUCUCCUGCCUCAGCCGCCCGAGUAGCUGGGAAUACAGGCGUCCACCACCACGCCCGGCUAAUUUUUUGUAUUUUUAGUAGAGACGGGGUUUCACUGUGUUAGCCAGGAUGGUCUCGAUCUCCUGACCUUGUGAUCCGCCCGCCUCUGCCUCCCAAAGUGCUGGGAUUACAGGCGUGAGCCAUCGUGCCCGGCCCACUUUUGAAAAACAGUUUCAGUGAGUAUCGAAUUCUAGGUUGACUACUUUUUUCUUUUGCUACUUUAAGAAUUUUCUUACACUGCUUUCUCACAUUGUUUCCAGUGAGAAAUCUGGUGUCAUCCUAAUUUUUGUUCCUCUGUUUAUAAAAUCUUUUUGUUUUUCAUCUGGCUGUUGUCAAGAUUUUCUCUUUGUUACUGGUCUUAAGAAAUUUGAUUAUGAUGUAUCUUGGUUUAUCUUUGUGUUUCUUCUGCUUGGGGUGUGUUGAGUUUCUUGUAUCUUUGGUUUUAUAGUUUGUAUCAAAUUUGGGAAAUUUGGGGUUAUUAUUUCUUUAAACACUCUCUCUGUUCCUUUCUUUCUCUCUCCUUAUGGGCCUCCAGUUACACAUAUAUUAAAAUGUCCCACAGCUCACCAGUGUUCUUUUCAUUAAAAAAAAAUAUAUUCAUUCCUUCUGGGGCAGGGCAUGGUGGCUCAUGCCUGUAAUCCCAGCACUUUGGGAGGCCAAGGCAGUAGGAUCACUUGAGCCCAGGAGUUUGAGACCACCCUGGGCAACAUGGUGAGACCUCAUCUCUACAGAAAAUUUUUAAAGAUUAGCCAAACAUGGUGGUGUGCGCCUGUAGUCCCAGCUACUCGAGAGGCUAAAGUGGGAGGAUCGCUUGAGCUGGAGAGGUUGAGGCUGCAGUGAGUCAUGAUCACGCCAGUGCACUCCAGCCUAGGUGACAGAGUGAGACCCUGUCUAAAAAGUAAAAAAAAAAAAAUCAUUUUUUUAAAUGUUUCAUUUGGACAGUUUCUAAUGUUGUCUUCCAGAUUUUUUUUUUUUUCCUGCAAUGUCUAAUCUGCUGUUCUAGGGCUGGGUGCAGUGGCUCGCACCUGUAAUCCCAGCACUUUGGGAGGCCGAGGCUGGCAGAUCAUUUGAGGUCAGGAGUUUGAGACCAGCCUGGCCAACAUGGUGAAAGCCCGUCUCUACUAAAAAUACAAAAAUUAGCUGGAUGUGGUGGCAGGUGCCUGUAGUCUCAGCUACUUGGGAGGCUGAGGCAUGAGAAUUGCUUGAACCUGGGAGGUGGAAGUUGCAGUGAGCCUAGAUCAUGCCACUGCACUACAGCCUGGGCAACAGAGCAAGACUCUCCCCCAAAAAACAAAAAUCUGCUGUUCCAGCCAGUACAUUAUUUAUUUCAGACAUUGUAAUUUCUAUCUGUUGAUAUCCAGUUUGAGUUUUUUUAUAUCUUCCGUAUCUGUAAAGAACUUUUGGAACGUAUGGAGUACAGUAUAAUAGUUGUUCUAAUGUUCUUACCUACUAAUUCUAACUCCUGGGUCCGUUUCAGUUGAAUGAUUUUUAUCCUCAUGAUGUGCCCUAUUUUCCUGCUUUUUGCAUAUUUGGUGACUUUGUUGUUGGAUACUAGACAAUAUCAGUAUUACCUUGUCGAGCACUCGUUACUUUUGUAUGCCUAUAAAUAUUCUUGAGCUUUGUUUGAGAAUGCAGUCACCUUACUUGGAAGCAGCUUGAUCCUUUCAGGUUUUGCUUUUAAGAUUCCUCAGGCAGGACCAGAACAGUGUUUAACAGGUUAGGGCUGCUUAUUCCCCACGGCUGAUGUAAGACCCUCUCCGUGUUCUACCCAGUGUUCCUUCAGUUAUGAGGUUCUUCUGGCAGGAACAGCGCCUUGUCAAGGCCUGUGUGAGUCCCCAGAACUCAGGCGCUAUUUGCUUCAGUCCCUCCAGGUGGUUCUUUCCCUGGCAUUCUAGUCUGCAGUAACAGAGGACCAUGGACUGGUGGCUCAAAAACAACAAACACUUAUUUCUCACAGUUCUGGAGGCUGGAAGUCCAAGAUAAUUUAUUUUUAUUUUUAUUUAUUUAUUUUUUGAGAUGGAGUCUCGCUCUGCUGCCCAGGCUGGAGUGCAAUGGCGCGAUCUUGGCUCACUGCAACCUUCGCCUCCCAGGUUCAAGAGAUUCCCCUGCCUCAGGCUCCCGAGUAGCUGGGACUACAGGCACCCACCACUACACCCGGCGAAUUUGUAUAUAUUUAGUAGAGACAGGGUUUCACCAUGUUGGCAAAGCUGGUCUCGAACACCUGAGUUCAGGUGAUCUACCCACCUCGGUCUCCCAAAGUGCUGGGAUUACAGGCGUGAGCCAUCGCACCCGGCCCAUAACUUCAUUCUCAAAACAAAGCUCAAGAACAAAGCUCAGACUCCCUGCUUUGUCUCCUCUGCUCACGGAGUCCUCCCAGCUCCGCCUCAGUCUUCCCUCCCUGUCCCGUGGUCUAGAAACUUGCAACAGGACCCAGCGGCAAUUUUAGGGCUUGCCUUGAUGUUUCCCGUUCCUCAGGGAUCACUUUCUUGGUAGAGUCUUGACCACUGUUGUUUUCUUGUAUUUACUCUAUUUUUGGGGGGUCAAGUCCAGUCUCUGUGACUCCAUCCUGGUCGCAGUGGAAGCCCCCAUAGGUAACAUUCUAAAAAUAACACUGGAUUUUCCUUUUGUAAAGUUUGGGUAAAAUGCCUUUUUUUUUUUUUUUUUUUUUUUUGAGACGGAGUCUUGCUCUGUCGCCCAGGCUGGAGUGCAGUGGCGCGAUCUCGGCUCACUGCAAGCUCCGCAUCCCGGGUUCAGGUGAUUCUCCUGCCUCAGCCUCCUGAGUAGCUGGGAUUGCAGGCGCCCGCCACCAUGCCCGGCUAAUUUUUGUGUUUAGUAGAGAUGGGGUUUCACCGUGUUGGCCAGGCUGGUCUCAAACUCCUGACCUCAGGUGAUCGCCUGCCCCAGCCUCCCACAGUGCUGGGAUUACAGGCGUGAGCCAGGGUGCCCGGCCAACUUCUUGUUGAGAGAUCACCCCCAGGCUCAUUGGCAUGGGAGAUCAAGCAGCUGAGUCUCAAGGUACUUUGCAGCCGCCCAACAGCCAGCGGAUGCCUGUGCUUGGGAAAUGGGCUCAGGGGCACUAGAGGGCAGUGUUUGAGAGGAAAGAAGUCAGCAUAGCAGCAGGGCCGGGCCUGGGGCAGACAGCCCACAUGGUUAGGAAAAAGUGAGUGAACGCAUGUGGCCCCCAGAACCCCUCCCUGAAAUUGCAGUUGAUUUUUAUUCCCACCGUCAGGCCCACAUAUCUAAAGCUUCCUCUGAACGCUCCUUGCAGUACACAAAAUAGAAAUGAUUGACAGGCACAGAGCAGCAGCAGGCCCCACGCUGUACACCAGCAUCUGGCACUGUGGGUCACCAAGCACCAACUCGAUCCCCUCGGAGCCAGGUGUGUGUUGAGAUUCAGGAUUUUUCAGUUGCAAAGGCAAUAUGAUCUCUACUCCACAGGGCACACGGCACCCUCAGUGCUCAGCACAGCAGUGUGCAGCAGCCUGGUUAACUUUUCUGCAGGGAAGUAUGUGAACGUUCACACCAAGCGUGUCAGUCAUGUCUGUAAGUCAUCUCCCACCAACACAGGUCAGGUUUUCCUGCCCAAUGAGCUUGGGGAUGGCUUGACUUUGGAGCUCUUUGGAUCUGUGGAUUUUGGAAUUUUGGAUUUCUGAUACCCGUUUGAUCAAAGAGGCAACCGAGGUCUAACGGGUCAAGUGACUUUCCCAUAUCCGUGAAGGUCAUGAAAAGCAGGGCCAGGAUGGUGGCCUGGGGUGCCUUGAAUGAUAAGCUGGGCCCUUCACUGUGCAGGCCCCUCUCCUUCAGUCCACUCUGCCACUGCUGUCUGCCACACCCUGCUCUGAUAGCUCCUCUCUGCCAGGCUUUUCCCUCACAUCCUCAACUCAGCCAAGAGCUGGUUUCUUCCAGAGAGCCCUGCUGUGCAGUCAGUUAUUGGACUUCUCUUUUUGUGCAUGUUUGUUUUCAGGGUUUAGCUGAUCAAAGUGGUAUCGUUGUAACAGGCAGCUCUAAAUAGAAGUCUUCAGAAGCCUGUGUGUCUUUUUCUGUAAAUCAAUUCCCAAAAGCAGGAUUGUUGGGGCAUGGGGUGUAUGCAGUUUUGAUCUGAUCACAUACAAGCGCAUUUUUUUUUUUUUUCAAGGGAUGGUGGCAGCUCACAGCCUCAGGAGAAGUGUUUUGAGUGCCUGUUCCUCUAGGUCCUCGCCCGCCCAGGACAUCACCACUCUUGUUAAUUUCAUUGUGUCUAGGUAGUGAAAAAGUGUAGUUUCUCAUUCUUUCAAAUUGCAUUUCCCAAUUAUUAGAGUUUGAAUCUUUUUGUCUGUUUACUGAUGUUGGAAUUUUUAUUGAGUAUUCAACUCAAUUGAUUACUUUUAAAUGGGUUGUCUUUUUCUUAGUUUAUGAAAGCUUUUGUAGAUUAUAUCUUUUAAGAAUAACAUUUCUGCAUCAUAACUGUUAACAUACACACACACACACACACACACACACACACACACACACGCACGCACACACUCACUGUUCCCCAGUCUGUCAAUUUGCCAUUUGACUUUACGGUAUGUUUUUCAAUCUAUAAUUUGCCAACUAAGCUAUCUUUUCCUUUCUGGUUUUAUGAUCUCCUGCUUAAACUCCUCCCUCCCCAUUUUCCCUACCCAGAUACAUGACAUGCAGACAAUAUACAAAUAUUCUCCUAAUUUCUCUGGUUUGUUUUGUUUUGUUUUGUUUUUUUCUGAGAUGGAGUCUCACUUGAUCUCCCAGGCUGGAGUACAGUGGUGCAACCUCCACCUCCCGGGUUCAAGCAAUUCUCCUGCCUCAGCCUCCCGAGUAGCUGGGCUUACAGACCUGUGCCACCAUGCCCAGCUAAUUUUUUUUUUCUUUAAGUAGAGACGGGGUUUCACCAUGUUGGCCACUCUGCUCUCAAACUCCUGGCCUCAAGGGAUCCACCCACCUUGGCCUCUCAAAAUGCUGGGAUUA